This 497-nucleotide ribosomal RNA is filed under the name uncultured bacterium. RNAcentral describes it as "partial 16S ribosomal RNA". It matches the Rfam family "Bacterial small subunit ribosomal RNA", at positions 28 to 507 of the family's 1533-position model. The record is from RNAcentral.
GACGAACGCUGGCGGCGUGCCUAAUACAUGCAAGUUGAGCGCUGAAGGUUGGUCCUUGUACCAACUGGAUGAGCAGCGAACGGGUGAGUAACUCGUGGGGAAUCUGCCUUUGAGCGGGGGACAACAUUUGGAAACGAAUGCUAAUACCGCAUAAAAACUUUAAACACAAGUUUUAAGUUUGAAAGAUGCAAUUGCAUCACUCAAAGAUGAUCCCGCGUUGUAUUAGCUAGUUGGUGAGGUAAAGGCUCACCAAGGCGAUGAUACAUAGCCGACCUGAGAGGGUGAUCGGCCACAUUGGGACUGAGACACGGCCCAAACUCCUACGGGAGGCAGCAGUAGGGAAUCUUCGGCAAUGGACGAAAGUCUGACCGAGCAACGCCGCGUGAGUGAAGAAGGUUUUCGGAUCGUAAAACUCUGUUGGUAGAGAAGAACGUUGGUGAGAGUGGAAAGCUCAUCAAGUGACGGUAACUACCCAGAAAGGGACGGCUAACUACGUG